Molecule: ribosomal RNA, 426 nt
Filed under: uncultured Eubacteriales bacterium
Lineage: Bacteria; Bacillati; Bacillota; Clostridia; Eubacteriales
Description: bacterial SSU rRNA
Rfam family: Bacterial small subunit ribosomal RNA
Source: RNAcentral
UACCUAAGGAGGAAGCCCCGGCUAACUAUGUGCCAGCAGCCGCGGUAAUACAUAGGGGGCGAGCGUUGUCCGGAAUCAUUGGGCGUAAAGGGCGCGUAGGCGGGAAUACAAGUCUGUUUUUAAAGUUCAGGGCUCAACCCUGUGAUGGACCAGAAACUAUAUUUCUUGAGGGCAGGAGAGGAAAGUGGAAUUCCUAGUGUAGCGGUGAAAUGCGUAGAUAUUAGGAGGAACACCAGUGGCGAAGGCGGCUUUCUGGACUGCAACUGACGCUGAGGCGCGAAAGCUGGGGGAGCGAACAGGAUUAGAUACCCUGGUAGUCCCAGCCGUAAACGAUGGAUACUAGGUGUGGGGGGUAUCGACCCCUCCCGUGCCGGAGUUAACGCAAUAAGUAUCCCGCCUGGGGAGUACGGCCGCAAGGUUGAAACU